RNAcentral lists this ribosomal RNA (728 nucleotides) under Staphylococcus aureus. Its description in RNAcentral is "bacterial SSU rRNA". It matches the Rfam family "Bacterial small subunit ribosomal RNA", at positions 1 to 711 of the family's 1533-position model. The record is from RNAcentral. Lineage: Bacteria; Bacillati; Bacillota; Bacilli; Caryophanales; Staphylococcaceae.
UUUAUGGAGAGUUUGAUCCUGGCUCAGGAUGAACGCUGGCGGCGUGCCUAAUACAUGCAAGUCGAGCGAACGGACGAGAAGCUUGCUUCUCUGAUGUUAGCGGCGGACGGGUGAGUAACACGUGGAUAACCUACCUAUAAGACUGGGAUAACUUCGGGAAACCGGAGCUAAUACCGGAUAAUAUUUUGAACCGCAUGGUUCAAAAGUGAAAGACGGUCUUGCUGUCACUUAUAGAUGGAUCCGCGCUGCAUUAGCUAGUUGGUAAGGUAACGGCUUACCAAGGCAACGAUGCAUAGCCGACCUGAGAGGGUGAUCGGCCACACUGGAACUGAGACACGGUCCAGACUCCUACGGGAGGCAGCAGUAGGGAAUCUUCCGCAAUGGGCGAAAGCCUGACGGAGCAACGCCGCGUGAGUGAUGAAGGUCUUCGGAUCGUAAAACUCUGUUAUUAGGGAAGAACAUAUGUGUAAGUAACUGUGCACAUCUUGACGGUACCUAAUCAGAAAGCCACGGCUAACUACGUGCCAGCAGCCGCGGUAAUACGUAGGUGGCAAGCGUUAUCCGGAAUUAUUGGGCGUAAAGCGCGCGUAGGCGGUUUUUUAAGUCUGAUGUGAAAGCCCACGGCUCAACCGUGGAGGGUCAUUGGAAACUGGAAAACUUGAGUGCAGAAGAGGAAAGUGGAAUUCCAUGUGUAGCGGUGAAAUGCGCAGAGAUAUGGAGGAACACCA